AUUUUGGGUUGUAUAUUUUUAUUGCAAGUGCUUGUUUCCGAAAUGAAUAGUUGUCUCAGUAUGUACACAUGUGUUUGUAUACACAGACACACAUAUAUAAUAUUUUUAAAACUACUUUUGCUAAAAGUAGAGAAUAUACAUUAAUCUAUACUAUGAAUUAAAACAUUUUAACUCUCAAUCUCAUUUCUCCUGUUUUGUUAAUUGCAUUAUUACAGACUCUCAGCCACCAGAUUACAAAGCCUUGAUUGCUUUUUCUGAUUAUUACUGCACAAGCUAUCCCUGUUAAGUCUGGAUGACUUUACCCUCAUGGUAUCUCUCACACAGAUGCCACUGGUGUACUUGGUAUAACUCUAUGCCCACUAUCUGAUUAAAUCCUCCGUUGCU
RNAcentral lists this long non-coding RNA (384 nucleotides) under Bos taurus (domestic cattle). RNAcentral describes it as "long non-coding RNA NONBTAT009628". Lineage: Eukaryota; Metazoa; Chordata; Mammalia; Artiodactyla; Bovidae. The record is from RNAcentral.